Molecule: ribosomal RNA, 921 nt
Filed under: Acinetobacter sp. M.pstv.42.1
Lineage: Bacteria; Pseudomonadati; Pseudomonadota; Gammaproteobacteria; Moraxellales; Moraxellaceae
Description: bacterial SSU rRNA
Rfam family: Bacterial small subunit ribosomal RNA
Source: RNAcentral
CGCGUGGCGGCAGGCUUACACAUGCAAGUCGAGCGGGGUGAUGGUGCUUGCACUAUCACUUAGCGGCGGACGGGUGAGUAAUGCUUAGGAAUCUGCCUAUUAGUGGGGGACAACAUCUCGAAAGGGAUGCUAAUACCGCAUACGUCCUACGGGAGAAAGCAGGGGAUCACUUGUGACCUUGCGCUAAUAGAUGAGCCUAAGUCGGAUUAGCUAGUUGGUGGGGUAAAGGCCUACCAAGGCGACGAUCUGUAGCGGGUCUGAGAGGAUGAUCCGCCACACUGGGACUGAGACACGGCCCAGACUCCUACGGGAGGCAGCAGUGGGGAAUAUUGGACAAUGGGGGGAACCCUGAUCCAGCCAUGCCGCGUGUGUGAAGAAGGCCUUAUGGUUGUAAAGCACUUUAAGCGAGGAGGAGGCUCUUUUGGUUAAUACCCAAGAUGAGUGGACGUUACUCGCAGAAUAAGCACCGGCUAACUCUGUGCCAGCAGCCGCGGUAAUACAGAGGGUGCAAGCGUUAAUCGGAUUUACUGGGCGUAAAGCGCGCGUAGGCGGCCAAUUAAGUCAAAUGUGAAAUCCCCGAGCUUAACUUGGGAAUUGCAUUCGAUACUGGUUGGCUAGAGUGUGGGAGAGGAUGGUAGAAUUCCAGGUGUAGCGGUGAAAUGCGUAGAGAUCUGGAGGAAUACCGAUGGCGAAGGCAGCCAUCUGGCCUAACACUGACGCUGAGGUGCGAAAGCAUGGGGAGCAAACAGGAUUAGAUACCCUGGUAGUCCAUGCCGUAAACGAUGUCUACUAGCCGUUGGGGCCUUUGAGGCUUUAGUGGCGCAGCUAACGCGAUAAGUAGACCGCCUGGGGAGUACGGUCGCAAGACUAAAACUCAAAUGAAUUGACGGGGGCCCGCACAAGCGGUGGAGCAUGUGUUUA